This is a long non-coding RNA of Drosophila miranda, 462 nucleotides long. RefSeq lists it as uncharacterized. Lineage: Eukaryota; Metazoa; Arthropoda; Insecta; Diptera; Drosophilidae. The record is from RefSeq and is a predicted model, not a curated record. The transcript is spliced from 3 exons.
CGCUCUCUCGGGUCUAGACAAUGUUGCCUAAGCAUGUUGCUGGUAUCAUGCUGCUGACAGCAUUUUGCUGUGCAGGAGGUGGAGUACGGAAAAGUCUUUACCCUGUGCUUUAUUUACAGUUAAAAUACAAAUUUAUAUCAAAGUGUACGGGAAAUACUGAGAGGAUGCAUUGCACAGGGCGCUUAAGCACAAUGAGGGAAAUGUCGACCGAUGGCACUGCAAUCCCACAAGCUACAGAAAUAUUUAAAAUAAUACAUGAUUCGGGUGAAUUGGAUCCACUGGCGGCACACACACUUCCCGCUCAACUUAUCACAGUUUUGCAAACAUAAAUAUAGCGAAGGACCGUUGGCCGUUCCACACAAAAUAUGUAUGUAUAUGUCUAUUUAACAGAUUCAUGUAGUACAUAGAUAUGUAUGUUAUUUGCCUUUUAAAGCACAAUAUAUUAUUUCUAUGUUGUAUAAA